CCUACGGGUGGCAGCAGUGAGGAAUAUUGGUCAAUGGGCGCGAGCCUGAACCAGCCAAGUAGCGUGAAGGAUGACUGCCCUACGGGUUGUAAACUUCUUUUAUCAAGGAAUAAAGUGAGGCACGUGUGCCUUUUUGUAUGUACUUUAUGAAUAAGGAUCGGCUAACUCCGUGCCAGCAGCCGCGGUAAUACAGAGGAUCCGAGCGUUAUCCGGAUUUAUUGGGUUUAAAGGGAGCGUAGAUGGGUUGUUAAGUCAGUUGUGAAAGUUUGCGGCUCAACCGUAAAAUUGCAAUUGAUACUGGCAGCCUUGAGUACAGUUGAGGUAGGCGGAAUGCGUGGUGUAGCGGUGAAAUGCUUAGAUAUCACGAAGAACUCCUAUUGCGAAGGCAGCUUACUAACGUGCCACUGACAUUGAUGCUCGAAAGUGUGGGUAUCAAACAGGAUUAGAUACCCGUGUAGUC
RNAcentral lists this ribosomal RNA (460 nucleotides) under uncultured bacterium. Its description in RNAcentral is "partial 16S ribosomal RNA". It matches the Rfam family "Bacterial small subunit ribosomal RNA", at positions 338 to 795 of the family's 1533-position model. The record is from RNAcentral.